Molecule: ribosomal RNA, 482 nt
Filed under: uncultured bacterium
Lineage: Bacteria
Description: bacterial SSU rRNA
Rfam family: Bacterial small subunit ribosomal RNA
Source: RNAcentral
CUACGUGCCAGCAGCCGCGGUAAUACGGAAGGUCCGGGCGUUAUCCGGAUUUAUUGGGUUUAAAGGGAGCGUAGSCCGGAGAUUAAGUGUGUUGUGAAAUGUAGACGCUCAACGUCUGACUUGCAGCGCAUACUGGUUUCCUUGAGUACGCACAACGUUGGCGGAAUUCGUCGUGUAGCGGUGAAAUGCUUAGAUAUGACGAAGAACUCCGAUUGCGAAGGCAGCUGACGGGAGCGCAACUGACGCUUAAGCUCGAAGGUGCGGGUAUCGAACAGGAUUAGAUACCCUGGUAGUCCGCACAGUAAACGAUGGAUGCCCGCUGUUGGUACCUGGUAUCAGCGGCUAAGCGAAAGCAUUAAGCAUCCCACCUGGGGAGUACGCCGGCAACGGUGAAACUCAAAGGAAUUGACGGGGGCCCGCACAAGCGGUGGAGCAUGUGGUUUAAUUCGAAGCAACGCGAAGAACCUUACCAGGUCUUGACA